RNAcentral lists this ribosomal RNA (253 nucleotides) under uncultured bacterium. RNAcentral's name for it is "partial 16S ribosomal RNA". It matches the Rfam family "Bacterial small subunit ribosomal RNA", at positions 524 to 776 of the family's 1533-position model. The record is from RNAcentral.
UACAGAGGUCCCAAGCGUUGUUCGGAUUCAUUGGGCGUAAAGGGUGCGUAGGCGGCGCGGUAAGUCGGGUGUGAAAUCUCGGGGCUUAACUCCGAAACUGCAUUCGAUACUGCCGUGCUUGAGGACUGGAGAGGAGACUGGAAUUUACGGUGUAGCGGUGAAAUGCGUAGAUAUCGUAAGGAAGACCAGUGGCGAAGGCGGGUCUCUGGACAGUUCCUGACGCUGAGGCGCGAAAGCGUGGGGAGCAAUCAGG